RNAcentral lists this ribosomal RNA (497 nucleotides) under uncultured bacterium. Its description in RNAcentral is "partial 16S ribosomal RNA". It matches the Rfam family "Bacterial small subunit ribosomal RNA", at positions 28 to 507 of the family's 1533-position model. The record is from RNAcentral.
GAUGAACGCUGGCGGCGUGCCUAAUACAUGCAAGUCGAGCGAACAGACGAGGAGCUUGCUCCUCUGACGUUAGCGGCGGACGGGUGAGUAACACGUGGAUAACCUACCUAUAAGACUGGGAUAACUUCGGGAAACCGGAGCUAAUACCGGAUAAUAUAUUGAACCGCAUGGUUCAAUAGUGAAAUACGGUUUUGCUGUCACUUAUAGAUGGAUCUGCGCCGCAUUAGCUAGUUGGUAAGGUCACGGCUUACCAAGGCAACGAUGCGUAGACGACGUGAGAGGGGGAUCGCCCACACUGGAGCGGGACCGGCCUCCAGGCGCCUGCGGGAGGGAGCAGAAGGGAAUCUUCGGCAAUAGGCGGAAGCCUGACGGAGCAGCGCCGCGUGAGUGAUGGAGGUGUUCGGAUCGUAAAACUCUGUUAUUGGUGGAGAACAAAUGUGGAAGUAACUGUGCACGUCUUGACGGUAACUGGUCAGAAAGCCACGGCUAACUACGUG